GAUGAACGCUGGCGGCGUGCCUAAUACAUGCAAGUCGAGCGAACAGACGAGGAGCUUGCUCCUCUGACGUUAGCGGCGGACGGGUGAGUAACACGUGGAUAACCUACCUAUAAGACUGGGAUAACUUCGGGAAACCGGAGCUAAUACCGGAUAAUAUAUUGAACCGCAUGGUUCAAUAGUGAAAGACGGUUUUGCUGUCACUUAUAGAUGGAUCCGCGCCGCAUUAGCUAGUUGGUAAGGUAACGGCUUACCAAGGCAACGAUGCGUAGCCGACCUGAGAGGGUGGUCGGCCACACUGGAACUGAGACACGGUCCAGACUCCUACGGGAGGCAGCAGUAGGGAAUCUUCCGCAAUGGGCGAAAGCCUGACGGAGCAACGCCGCGUGAGUGAUGAAGGUCUUCGGAUCGUAAAACUCUGUUAUUAGGGAAGAACAAAUGUGUAAGUAACUGUGCACGUCUUGACGGUACCUAAUCAGAAAGCCACGGCUAACUACGUG
RNAcentral lists this ribosomal RNA (497 nucleotides) under uncultured bacterium. Its description in RNAcentral is "partial 16S ribosomal RNA". It matches the Rfam family "Bacterial small subunit ribosomal RNA", at positions 28 to 507 of the family's 1533-position model. The record is from RNAcentral.